This is a long non-coding RNA of Xiphophorus hellerii (green swordtail), 5302 nucleotides long. RefSeq lists it as uncharacterized. Lineage: Eukaryota; Metazoa; Chordata; Actinopteri; Cyprinodontiformes; Poeciliidae. The record is from RefSeq and is a predicted model, not a curated record. The transcript is spliced from 2 exons.
CAAAAAAAUUUCACUGCGUCCAUGUUUUCCUCGUCGGUCUAGGUAAUGUUUUGAAUUGCUCUAUCUCUCCUGCAAGGUUGUCUCCUUUCCUCAGAUAUCGCUAUUGGUCUCUCUCUCUCCCUCCCUCUCUGCCUUUCUCUCUCUCUUUCUCUUUCUCUCUCUCCUUAUGUUUCUCUCUGCCUGGUUGUGGUGGCGAUGCUGUCGGUGGGCAGAGAGGGAGGGAGCGCCACUCGUUCAAAUGGUACUGGCUGCAUCUCAGCAUCUCCGAUCAAACAGCAUAUAACAAGCAAAAUGUUUAAUUUUUUCUUUAGUUCCUCGCCUCAGUUCAUGUAAAUAAGAAUGUAAAUAGAACCGCAGUUGACACCCGCAUAAUGUACAAAUUUUUUAAAGCAAAAAUAAAGAACGUUUUUCUCUCUCCUCUUGUCAGCGCCACCGCCCUUUUUUGAGCCGAGGAAAACUGAUUUAUGUGCAGCCAUCAUCAGACUCCCUUGCUGAGGCAAAUUAACAAUUACUCGGGAGCAAGGCAAACGGAGCAGCAAAUCAUUUUAAAAACAGAUCUAGACUUUGCCUAGCUGCAGCACUGUGAGCCAACUGCUGUUCCAGCUGAGGGGGAAAUGUCUCUAAUGUCAUUUGAAUAUUUUCAGACUGAGAAAGUGGGUGAAAUACGACCAAUAGCUUUGAAAAUAAAUUCAUGUGAUGGAUUAAAGCCAAGAUUAAAGUUGAAGCUUCCUCCAUGUUCACUGUAUCUACCCCAGUAUGAAAGAACCCUAAUUUCAUCAAUUAUGUAGUAUGUCCACUAGAUUAAUAACAUUCUCUCCAACCUCAUUAAUACUGUAAGCAGACACUCUAAAAACCAUUUGUAUUAGUUCCCCUAGGAGAUUUUUCCAUGGAAUCCCCCAUUUUAGUGAGUCAGAGUAUAAAAUAAAUCUGCAAAGAAACUGGUCAUGAGUGGGCUAUCGUGAAGCUUCACUCAUUACGUCAUUCCCUCAGCCACCGCAUACAAACAGAAGCAGCCAUGCAAACAUAAUGGGCAUUUGUGCCUGUAGGUCUGGGUGCUCUCACACAACAGUGUAGAAUGGUAUCUGAGGACAAAAUGAUUUUGUCUGAGUAAAUGUUGGGAGAUAGUUUACAGUUCUCGCUGUGAAUUUUAAAUGCCAGGGAACCGUCUUCUCCUGCCAAGAGUUUGAUGAGCAGAUGGCAACAGAGAAGUGAAGCAUGCAUUUCCUUUUUGUAGACUGUCUAAAGAGAAUGUCAGAAAUAGGUGGAUUUCUUAUUUUCUUGUCCCCUCAUUGAAAAGUGCUGUCUCCGAGAUUUUAGUCUGAUCCUGUUACAGUCAAAAUCUAGUCUACAGGGCAAGUGUGACUGCAGAGGCGUUGUAAAAGUCAACUUUAGAAUGCACCUGACAAGUUGUGUAGAAGAACAGAAAUGCAUCAAUAAAAUUAUGAAAUUUGCAGUACAAUUUAAAUGACAAGGUAGGAAGUAAAUUCCCCAAAAGAGCCAAACAAAAAUACUUGCAAAAUAAAUAGGUACAAUGAAAAGGAUCAAGACAAAUAAUAGAAUAAAUAUUAAAAAUAGAAAGUCAAAUUGAUAAUUCCCCUUAAAAGCUUUACUUUUGUUUUGCCAUUGCUUUAUUGCAAUGAAAUAACUGCAGCAGCAAAAAACACGUCAUCACAGGAAGCCUAAAUCCAGCUGUGUAUCAGGAGGUAUGAGUCAGUAAAAAGAAAAGGUCAAUGAGAACAGCUCUGAAAAGUUAAUCCCUAUGUCAGUCAGAGGGGCAGAGAGGUGGGAGAGACGGUGAAAUUGGUCCCUCUGUUGGAAGAAAUCAGUAGUGCAAAGAUUUAACACGUGAUUCUCUCCCUCUGCUCAUCCACCCAGGCUUUUUGCAUUAAGCCAAAGUACUAAAGCAUAAUCUCAUCUAUGACAGUGUGUGUUUGAGAGCGAGAAAGGGAGGCGGUUGGAGGGAGGCGAAUACGUCAUUCGGUCAAGUUCUUUAUCUAUUCUAGGGCAAGCGCCAUACUGACAAAGCUGGAUGAAAAAAAAAACAGGGCAAUGUGUGGAGGUGAAAGCAAGGGGACGGUUAAACGUAUAACAUGUCUGUCUCCAUUUCAAACAAUGAUAACACACACCACGUUCUGCAUUCAUCAGAUAAAUAUUGCGCAAUUAAAAUUAUUUAGUUGAACAAAAUUGUAAAAAAUGUAGAGCAAAUAAUAAAAAAAAGAUCAAACUAAGUAUUACAAAAACAAAAAGAAUAUACUCAUAUGUUACUGAAAAAAACAGCUUAAGGACAGAGUUGUGUUCUCACACCUUUUGAAGAACUGGCUCAUUUAAAGCCUAAUUAUAACCACAUUCUUGUUCAGUAUGGUUUGUAAAGCAAGCACGCAGUGAAGAUGUUCAAUAGGGAUGUUUGUUCUGAUCCCACGUGUACCUUUCCUUCAAAAAUAAAGGUCAUGAGAACAAAAAGCUGCUUAAAUCCCUCCCCAUGGGAGCAAGCACUGGCUAAACAACUUCUUGCAUGUCCUGAUUCCGGCAUGAAUCAAACAAAUCCUCAGUGCUGCACCAAAGAAAGCUAUCAGGAAAUACAGGCAGGCUUUGGAUACUUUCCUCUCUGGAUGGCCUGGCUUUGUAUCUCUGUCGGAUUGGUUAGGAUGGGCCCCGUGGUGCAGAGCAUGACAAAGAUAAUUUAAUGAGGGCAAAAAUAUUCCAGUGCCAGUGAGAAAGAAGGCUUGGUGGAAGUAGGGGAUGUAUGAUGAGUGCCUUUUUUAAAUGUGUGACCGAUUGUAAGCUUGUAAUUUUUUCAUUCAGCCUUAGGGCAUGCAUUUGAUGUGUGUGUGUGUGUGUGUGUUUUUUAUCCAUCUCAUUCUUGCAAACCCUGGUUUUCCUCACUAUUUCAUGCUCAAGGCUCAAAUCUGUGCUGCUGUAUUUGUGUCUUUCUGUGAAACAUUUUCCAUUCUGGAAUUGUACCAAUCUCACUCUCUUUCCCCCUUGUUUGAUUUGCUUUCUCCUGUUUACACACCAAAUAAAGAAAAAAAAUCAACAACAAUCUUGCCAAGGUUGCUGCAAAUCUGCACCAUGCACCUCUCUCAUUCUCUCUCUCCUUAUUUAUUCCUUAAGCAUCUCUUCGUAACCUGUGCGGCUUCCUUCCAGCUUGCUUCCAUGUGAAACAUGCUGGGAUGGAAGAGAGAGUGAGAGUGGGGGUGGGUGCACCAGCAGCAGCUCCCUGGAAACAGACUGGCUCAUCAUCACAGCCCAGAAACAGUCUCCAUGGCAACCUAACUUCACUCUCACACAAAGGACACACCCUUGUCAAUGAGAAAAACAGGAAGUGGUCCAUGAGAUGUGCGCAGUCAGAACGGCAAAUGAAUCUCAAAGCUAGUUUGUUGAUCUCCUGCGUUCCCCACGUGUGUAGACUUGGGGUGAGGAGACAUUUAUACGAUGCUUUUUGUCCAGCUGUUGAACCCAUCUGGGCAAAUGACUUGCAGUUAAAGCCUCUGCUGCAGGAGACCAGUCCUCACACUGCGAAGCUCUUCGCUGAGAGCUCCUGCAACCAUAAUGUACUGUAGAAUAAAUAAUUUAGUGCAUGUUGCAGCAUCAAGGGAGGCAAAGUUAGAAGCUUUUAUCAUAUAUACAUUCUAGAGCUUUCAUGGCUUUGUUUUUAAACAGUGUGUGCAAGUGAGACACUGAAUUGCAUCGUUUAUGUAAAAUCCGACCGUCCAGUAGCUCAAUACUGCAUGGAUAAAAAGCCUCCUCCCUCCUACUGCCCUCUAAAACACAGGUUCAGCUGUGAUCGACAUUGGGUUAUGUCCGGCCCCGCCCAGCCGCAGAGCCGAACAGGAGGGAGAGCUGAGGCGAACUGAGCUGAUGCCUCGAUCGGAACGGAAGCUCCCCACUACUGCUACUGCAAAGGGUAGCGGAAAAUUACCUGCCCCUCCCCCACUUUCUACCUCAGAGACAGAGAGCCGCAGCAUACAGUGCACGAGCUGGAGCAUUUACGCAGAGAGGCAGAUCCAGACAUUGUUUCGGGAACCAGUGGAUUCGGAGAGUGCGUACAACCUACAUUGCGCAUCGACUGUAUCGGACAUAGAGCCGCGCAGCAAACACAAGUUCAGUCUGAUGGCGCCUGUAGCGUGCUGCCGUGGUCAAAUCACUCGCUGACCCACUUAAGCGACGCUCAUAACCUGAUAGACUUGACUCGCAAUAUUCCGCGUGUGUGAGAGAGGGACGGAGCCGGGUUUCACUCUCACCAGCCAAGAACGAAUAAAAAAAAAUAAAUAAAUGACUGAAGCUUUGACAGAUGAUUGCAUGACUGUGUGUCUUGAACCACUCCCUGAAAUGAGGUCAUAGCGUCUGAGUGGGUCACAACACUAUCAAGCCAUUGAAAAAAAAAAAAAACAAAAAAACUGAGCCACCAAACCUCACUGGGAUUACCUGAACCCAAACCACCUGCAAAACGCAGAAUUAUAUAUUUUAUGAUUAUACAUGUACAAAUGAAUACGCGACCAGCUUCGGGACUAAAGCCCACUUGACUUGACACGGAACUGGAUUCUGUAAGCACAUUAAGGAUAGUAAUGAAAAUAUAUUAAAUCAGGUUUACAGCGCUCCGCAGCUGAGAGCAUGCAUGUCUGAAGAAAUGGAGUUAAUUUCCUGUUAGCUCCUUCAGCUGCUCCCCUUCACCAGGAGGGAGUGUGCAAGUGGGGGGAGGGGAGGAAUUCAUCAGGAUACGCAAGAGAAAAGAGACGCCCGAGCAAUGGAUGUCAUGAUUCAGCCUUUCCUCGGAAUGAAGGUUAUAAGGUUUUCUGAUAAAAUAUGCUAAAGAACUGUAAAUAAAAACAAUACACCAGAAUGGGAGCAGCAGGGGAUCAAACAGAAGACCAGACUCAUUACACAGAACACCUGCAAAACUUUGCAGUCUCUAAGAAUGGGCACAAAUGUGUAUCAUGACUAAAAAUGUAUGGACAUUUCCCUUAAUAGGACUAGAAUUUAUAUUGAUGUGUUAUGUAGCAUCCAGGGAAUAGAGAACAUUAUGGGUCAGGCUAUGAUCAACACAGAUUUAAGAUUCAAGCAGAAUUGAACAACAAUUAUUACAGCAAAAGAAAGAAUGAACAAAUAAUGAAAAUGAACAAUGAGAGCAAAUGUUAGCUUAUUGUGAAAUGAGACAAUCAUAACAUUAGUAACACAUUUAAUGUUCUCUUUAUGUGGAAAGCGUUUGUAUCUCAAAAUGUUAUGAACUGGUUUAUAUCUCGCACAGAAAUGAUAUGUAAUAAAUAAAACUUGAUUCUGUGUACUUGAAAAGUGCAAGUGUAAA